GGGCCCUUAGCUCAAUUGGUCAGAGCGGUAGACUCAUAAUCUGCGGGUUAUAGGUUCAAGUCCUAUAGGGCCCACCA
RNAcentral lists this transfer RNA (77 nucleotides) under Candidatus Cloacimonadota bacterium. Its description in RNAcentral is "tRNA-Ile". It matches the Rfam family "tRNA". Rfam says of the family: Transfer RNA (tRNA) molecules are approximately 80 nucleotides in length. The record is from RNAcentral. Lineage: Bacteria; Pseudomonadati; Candidatus Cloacimonadota.